RNAcentral lists this ribosomal RNA (390 nucleotides) under uncultured bacterium. Its description in RNAcentral is "bacterial SSU rRNA". It matches the Rfam family "Bacterial small subunit ribosomal RNA", at positions 30 to 418 of the family's 1533-position model. The record is from RNAcentral.
AUUGAACGCUGGCGGCAUGCCUUACACAUGCAAGUCGAACGGCAGCACGGGAGCUUGCUCCUGGUGGCGAGUGGCGAACGGGUGAGUAAUACAUCGGAACGUACCCUGAAGUGGGGGAUAACGUAGCGAAAGUUACGCUAAUACCGCAUAUUCUGUGAGCAGGAAAGAGGGGGAUCGCAAGACCUCUUGCUUUAGGAGCGGCCGAUGUCGGAUUAGCUAGUUGGUGAGGUAAAGGCUCACCAAAGCGACGAUCCGUAGCGGGUCUGAGAGGAUGAUCCGCCACACUGGGACUGAGACACGGCCCAGACUCCUACGGGAGGCAGCAGUGGGGAAUUUUGGACAAUGGGCGCAAGCCUGAUCCAGCCAUGCCGCGUGAGUGAAGAAGGCCUC